GAGGUCUUAGCUUAAUAAAAGUGACUGAUUUGCAUUCAGUAGAUGUAGGGUAUAAUCCUACAGUCCUUA
This 69-nucleotide transfer RNA is filed under the name Apodemus sylvaticus (European woodmouse). Its description in RNAcentral is "tRNA-Ala". It matches the Rfam family "tRNA". Rfam says of the family: Transfer RNA (tRNA) molecules are approximately 80 nucleotides in length. Their secondary structure includes four short double-helical elements and three loops (D, anti-codon, and T loops). Lineage: Eukaryota; Metazoa; Chordata; Mammalia; Rodentia; Muridae. The record is from RNAcentral.